AGUAACGCGUAGGUAACCUACCUCAUAGCGGGGGAUAACUAUUGGAAACGAUAGCUAAUACCGCAUAAGAGAGACUAACGCAUGUUAGUAAUUUAAAAGGGGCAAUUGCUCCACUAUGAGAUGGACCUGCGUUGUAUUAGCUAGUUGGUGAGGUAAAGGCUCACCAAGGCGACGAUACAUAGCCGACCUGAGAGGGUGAUCGGCCACACUGGGACUGAGACACGGCCCAG
RNAcentral lists this ribosomal RNA (230 nucleotides) under uncultured Streptococcaceae bacterium. RNAcentral describes it as "partial 16S ribosomal RNA". It matches the Rfam family "Bacterial small subunit ribosomal RNA", at positions 109 to 334 of the family's 1533-position model. The record is from RNAcentral. Lineage: Bacteria; Bacillati; Bacillota; Bacilli; Lactobacillales; Streptococcaceae.